Molecule: ribosomal RNA, 354 nt
Filed under: uncultured bacterium
Lineage: Bacteria
Description: bacterial SSU rRNA
Rfam family: Bacterial small subunit ribosomal RNA
Source: RNAcentral
AGAGUUUGAUCAUGGCUCAGGAUGAACGCUAGCUACAGGCUUAACACAUGCAAGUCGAGGGGAAACGACAUCGAAAGCUUGCGUUUGAUGGGCGUCGACCGGCGCACGGGUGAGUAACGCGUAUCCAACCUGCCCAUCACUUGGGGGAUAACCUUGCGAAAGUAAGACUAAUACCCAAUGACGUCUCUAGAAGACAUCUGAAAGAGAUUAAAGAUUUAUCGGUGAUGGAUGGGGAUGCGUCUGAUUAGCUUGUUGGCGGGGUAACGGCCCACCAAGGCGACGAUCAGUAGGGGUUCUGAGAGGAACGGUCCCCACAUUGGAACUGAGACACGGUCCAAACUCCGUACGGGAGCA